CUGAACCUAUUAGACCUGCACACGGAAACAAAAAAAAAACUCAUAUGUUGAGUACUGUAUACUCGGAGAUGCUAAUAUAAUUCAAAUUCAAUACAUCAAAAGAUUAAAUUAAUAAAAAAUGUACAAAAGUAUAGCAUUAAUAAUACUACUUUAUCCCCCUUUUUUUUUCUUUUUCAUUAUAGAAUCAAUCAUUAUAAUACCAAACUAAAUAGAUUUAUAACAUCGUCAUAUGAAUUCAUACCAACCUAUCGAAGGUUCAUGCCACCUUCAAGGUAUUAUGGCCAACAUUUUCCAUUUCUUUCACAUGUGAAUGAUGUAUACUAAUCAUUCAUAUAGUUUCCAAUUUUCUCAAUUUCUAUAAAUCAUCACUCAAUAUUCAUUUCAACAAUUCAAAAUUUUCAUGUCACAAUAUAUUCAAUACUCAACAUAUAAAUUCACUUUCACCUUUUGCUACUUACUUAUUUUGGCCCCUAUUUACCGAUGGUAGACACUAGGACAGAUACUCAGAUAUAUAUAAAUAAUAAGUCCACAGCUCUGUAGGAAUUGGGGCUAUUUUAUUUUGUCAUCCUGAGUUGCCCGACAACGAUGGCAUUUUAGUAUUUGUCUUGACUAUUUUAUACUACCAUCAUAGGUUGCUUGACAAUAAUGGUUUUAGUACUUGCUCAUGACUCUUAGUGAAUUGGAACUAGUAAAUCACUAUAUCAGAGAUCUUAUAGCAUGCCAGUUAUACCCAGACUAAACCUAACAUCGUUUAAUGGGGCAAAAUCAUUAUUAAAUAUUAUUUAACACAUAUCAAUAUUCAACAUUAUAGCAUCACUAUUGUAUUAUCAAUCAUAACUCAAAUAUGCAAUCACAUUAUCAAUGCAUCCUUUUUUUUAUCACCAACACUUAUAAGUUCAAAUCAUAUUAGUUAUGUAUAUCAUACGUUAUCAAUAAUCAUCAUAAUAUCAAGAUUUCAUUAUUUAUAUAUAUUGAGCAUAUACAUUUAUAAAGCACAAAUUCAAUCAUUUAUAACAUGAUUAGACAAUCUAAAUAUCAAAUUCAUCAUCACAAGCUUUUAAGGAAAGAUACAAUUACCUCAGCAUUUAUUUUUUAUUCGAUUAUAAUGACUAACUAAUCUACGAAUGAAUAAUUGGAAGUGAAUUAUAGUAGCACAAAUCGCAGUAACUAUUCGACGUUCGCCUUUUCCUUUCCAUUCGUCUUUGACUUUCCAGCAUUAUCCUCUACUAUGUUUGAUAAUACGGUUUCAAAAAAAUAUUAAUUUCUCAAUCAUAUACACAUUAACAAUAAUUAAAUACGAAUGCAUUUUAUUCAUUUUAGUCCUUAUAAACCCUAAUAUCUAAAAUGCUCAUAUUUCUCGAUAUUUAGUAUCGAAUCAAAAUUUGAUUUCAUAUUCUUUCAUUAGGGACCUUAUACUUGUAAUCUAUAACAUAAUUUCAUAACAGCCUUCAAUUUAUUCAAUUUAAUUCCCAAUGUCAUAAAUAAGCUAUAUAGCUUAGUUGGAUUCCUAAUCAAUUCCAACUCCUUUCUCUACAUUUUAAUUUAGUCGUAACAUACCCCAAACUCAUGCUUCAAGUAUCUUGAAUUUAACUUAACAAUUCAAAAUUCUAACACAUGGGUAAGACAUGUUAAGCUAAUAUGAUCAAAAUUCCAUAAAAAUUUUAAAGGAAUUAACUUAUUUACCUUAAGGACGUUGGACCGAAUAACUAAUGGAAGCAAAAGAAGUUUUCUUUCUUUCUUUCAAGUUGAUAUACGGCACAACUAAGGAAGAUGAUAAUUUUUACAUUCUCUCUCCCACUUUCACAUAUGUAUAUGUACUUAGAUUAAUGUUAAGAUUAAGCUUAAUUAAUCUUAAUUAGUUAAUUAACAUAAAACCAUUUAAUAAUAUAAAUCAUGAUUAUAAUGAUGGAUGGAUUUAAUCAUUCCAUCCCACUAAUUUAAAAUUAUUUGGUCUAAUUGUUUUAUAGUCUCUAGUUUAAUUUCUAACUAGGUUCUUUUUUUCAUUUACUAAAUUAAAAGUCAAUAACAAUCACAUUUUUAUAAGUUAUUCCUUGUACUAUAAUUUUUAAUUGUUUUUAAUUUAAUUAUAUUUAGUAAUUUGUUCUACAAUUUCGUACGUUAUUAUUUUAUUAUAAUUUUCGGUUAAUUUAAUUUAAUAAAUUUAAUCAUAAAACUGAAAUUUUCGACCUUAUUAAAAUUCGAGUUAUUACAAAUUGGGCUUGGCGUGGACUUAGCAAGGAAUGGUAUUUUAGUGAAGCAAUCUCCUUAGCAAGAUAUGUUUAAUAGUUUUUCAAUAAAGUUUGGUUUCAAAACACUAUCGAAGCACGACGGACGGCGGUGAUCAAUGAUGACACUUCAGUAUGUUUUUUAAAAAAAUUAUUGGGGGUUUUUUUCUUUAAAUAGAAGUAAUUGCCAAAUGGAAAAAAAAAAUUAAGGGAUUUUCAAAUUGUUGAAACUAUGUUUAUAAUUGUGACUUUAACGUAACCUACAGAAAAAUUAUACUAUGUUAACAAUUGAACCAAUAUUAUUAAAUUUAAAAAAAUAGAAUAAUUUAAUGUCUUAAAAUUAAGACUUAAUUUAUAAUUUAACCUUUAAAAUAUAUAUUUUUUCCAUUUUGAUUCUUAAAAUUUUUCUUUUCAAUUAAGUACCUAAAAUAUCCAAAUGUUAUGGUUCUUAAUCCCAUCUUAAACCAACAUUAGUCUAUUUUCUUUUAUUAAAAAUAUAUAAACUUUAAAAAUUUAGAAAAAUAGAAAUAAAUAUAUAUAAAAAUUUAGGGAAAAAUCUAAUAUAUAAAAACUAUAAAAAUAGAAAGAAUUUAAUUUUUUGUUAAUUAUUAUUAAAUGUUCGUCUUAUUUACUUUUUUGUUAAAUAAAUCAUCAUCUUCUUCAACAAAGGUUACGCAAAUCUAAGAUCAUUUGACCAUCUACUUAGUGGUCAAUCUCACCUGCUGCACUACAUGAAACAAAAGCCAUGCCCAAAUUUAAUCUACUUGGUGCUUAAGUAAAAUUCCAAAGCCUAUUGAAGAUUAAAGCCAAGUACAAGAAGUAAACCAAAUUUCCAUUACAGUGUUGCAUUUCAUUCUGUUGCAAAGGUGAAGUUCAUCGCAACCCCAAAUUCCAACCUACUUGUCUUGUCCUGAGGUAGUCCCGAAAGACCAUUUGACAAUCUUCGUCCUCUCCCAUCGGCCAUCUCUACCAUUACCAUUUGACCAUUUUAACUCAAAGAAAUUAUAAGCAACCAAAAUUUCCACUCCAAAAAUUCCAUAACCACUAAUACCUUAAACUACCAUCUAAAUCCUCCAUAAACCACCAUUGCUAACCCCAUUAAAAACCCACUGCUAACACCCAACCCAAUAGCAACUAAAAUUUCAACUGCAAAAACCCCAAUCCUUGAAAUCCAUUCUCGAUCCGUUGCCAAUGAACACAGAAAAUUGAGGUUCAUUUGCUUGAAAUGGUGCUGGGUUGGUAAUAGUAAUAUAUUUAAUCUUUUUAAUAAAAAUAUAUUUUGAAAUGAAAAAUAAAAAUAAAAACAGUUGGCGUAAUCUAAUCCAUUUAAGAUUGGACUAAAAACCUUAAUGUUUGGAUACUUUAAGUAUCUAAUUAGGACAAAAAAAAAUUAAUAUCAAAUGAGAAAAGUGAUAUUCUUCAAAGUUCAAAUAGUGAAUUUUAAAGUAUAUAAAUUAAAAUUAAAAUUUGGUAAGAGUAUAUAGGGUUUUGUCUAAUCUUUUUGCAGGUUGAUUAGUGGUGAUUGGUCAGUCUUCAUUUCUUCCUAAUUUUGAAUCACUCAAACCCUUUUUCUGAAAUGGAAAAGUGAUGAAGUAUGCUAUCUUAUCCUGCUCUUUCAUCUACUCUUUAAAAAAACACACAAAAAGCAACUCAAGCUUUAAAGGUCAUAUGUGUUAACUUUUACUCUUUAAGCAUCAAGUUUAUUUUUAUAUAUAUGGUAAAAAGCAGAGGAUUUCAAUUUUUAUAUCAAAGUUCAACUCUACAAAAGGCAGUAAACAGAUUCCAUACUUGUAAUUUUCAGUGACUUUGAUCUUCUUUUUUUUUUCUUUAUUUGAUUGGGCUUGGAUGAUUUUGGAGGGAAUAACAAUUUUCUUUUUAAAUACUAUUUUUAGUUCAUCAGAUUUCGACAUUCUCCUUUAUUUCUAAAACCUCCAAUUUUGUAUGUUUAAGUUUGAAAUUCACUUUAUAUAAAUAAUGUGUAAGCUAUAUCUAAAUUUAUUUUAAUUUAAAUUUCACCAUACAAAUCUUGUCCAGAAAUACUUUUUUAUAUCAAAAGAAAUAAAAAUGCUUUCAGUUUUAUGCUUUCAUGCUACAACUAAAAUUAUAACUAUUUUCUUAUUAUAAAUUAGAACUUUUCAUAUUUUCCUUAAAAAAAAUUUGAUAUUUAUGAAAAAUAUAUAUAAUUUGAAAUUUAAGGAAUAAUAAUAUUUUCAAAAAGUAAAUAGUUUUGUUCUAGAUUAAUAUUGGGCAAUUUAAUUUUUUUUAAAAGAUUUGAUAGUUUAAUUAAGAAUAAUGAGUAGAUAUAUUGAAACGGAUAUAUAUAUAAAAAAAUUUGAUCACAUCAUUAUUCUUAUAAUUUUUUUAAUUAAUGACUUUAUUUUUUUUCUAUUUUAAUAAAUUAAAUUAGUAUUGUUUAACUCGUUCCAUCUGAUUCUAUAUAAUUAAAAUAGGAAAAUGUUAAUUGAUAAGUCAUAGUGUUUAUUAUAUAAAAGAAGCAUGUAUAUAAUAAAUUAUUUCUUUAAAUUGAAUUGAAAUAUUUGAUAUAAAAAUAUAUAAUUGAUUACUCAAAAUACAUAUAUUAAUUUAUUUGGCCUUCUGACUUUAUUAAAAAAAAUCAUUUUAGUUCUUCAUUUAAUUAUUUACCUAUUUUAAUCUAUAAGCUUGUAUUAUUUGUCAAAUUACACUAAAACGAAUGGAAAAGUCAACGUCUGUUAACUUUAUUGACGUAGCAUCCAUGUGAUAGUCCACGUGUAUGUCAUGUUAGUAAUUAAUUAUUUUAAAAAAAUUAAAAAAAUUUAUACUUUUUUAAAUAAAUUUUAAUUUUUAAAGUAUAUUGUAUAAUUUUAAAAAAAAAGUUAAUUAUUGAUGUGACAUUCAUGUGUAUGUCACAUCAAUAAAGUUAACAAACGUUAAAUUUUUUAUCUAUUUUAAAAGUGAUUUGACAAACCAAAUUUAAGGGUUGAAAGAGAAAAAUUAAAAGGACGACUAAAUUAUUUUUUUUAUAUAAAGCUGAAGACUUGAAUAAAUAUUUAUGACAAUUGAUAAUAUGUUAUUAUUUUUAAAUUAACGAAUUAAGUUAAAGUAAUGCUGAUUGGAGACGAGGAAUCAGUGAAUAUUUGGAACGAUCCCUGGACUUGGGGAUAGCAGAGUUAAAUGUAAGCAAAUAGAUAUAAGAUUUACCAAAGUCGCUGAUUUAAUUAACUCGGAGCAAGGUACCUGGAAAGAAGAUGUAAUUUGGGAGAUUGUCGAAGCUGACCAAGUAGAGGCUAUCUUAUCCAUCCCUAUAACCCAAACGAAACCACUAGAUCUCAAAUUUUGGGGAGUUGAAGGAACAGGGGAGUAUACAGUCAAAAGUGGAUACAAGCUACUAUUACAUGAAAACUUUUCCAACCAGAAAGCUCUUGUAACAGCCUGUUUUUAAAUGGUGCCAGAAACAAUGGUUUCGGGACCACAACUCUGUUCUAUCAGCCCGUAAAUAUUAAUUAUUAAAUAUGAAUGAGGUCAUUAGUGUCAUAUUAAAAUUUGGUUAUGAAAUUUUAUCGUUUAGAUAGUUAAUUAAGGGAAAAGGAUUAAAUCGUAAAAGUUGAGAAAGUUAAUUGCUAUUAAUUAAGGUUAUCAAAUAGCUAUAAAAAAGUUAAUUAAAGGUCUUGAAUAUUAAAUAGACCAUCAUUACUUGUUAUGGACGGUAGUGGGCUUACAAAUUGUGAAUGUUAAUUGUUUAUUAAAGGGAUAAACUUGUAAAUAGGUAAAUAAGUAUAAUAAAACAAAACAUGUUAAAAUUGUAUCAUCUUCUUCCUUUUCAUUUUAUCAAAAUUUAAACCUUAAAGGAGUUAAAAGGGAGAGUUUUCGACAAAUUUUGGUCCUUUAAUUCGAUAAGUAAACCUUGCCCGUUUUUAGUUUGAUAAGUAAACCUUGCCCGUUUUUAGUAAUUUUUAUAUUUUUGAGCUCGUAUUAGUUUGGUCUAGCUAACUUGAGAACUAAUUUGUAAAACUUUCAAACAUUCUGGAUAAUAUUAAGUUUGAGUUAUUCUUGAAGUUUUAUGGAAUAAUAUUAAGGUUGGUUGUUAGUUAGGACUAUUUUGUAAAGUAGUUUUUGCUGGUUUUAACGUUUAAGUGAGUUUGAGUUAUUCUUAAAGUUUUAUGGAAUAAUAUUAAGGUUGGUUGUUAGUUAGGACUAUUUUGUAAAGUAGUUUUUGAUGGUUUUAACGUUUAAGGACUAAAAUGUAAAAAUAGUAAAAUUACUUGUACUUGAUGUGAAAUAAUUGCAAAUAUGGAUUGAAGUGAGGCUCUUGAAUGUUCGGCUAAGCUUAUAUUUGAAUGAAAAUGGUUAAAUUGCAUGUUUUAAGCUUAGGGACUAAAUUGUAUAAAAGUAAAAUAUUUGGGGUAAUUUCGUAAAAAUGUCUUUGCUAUUGGUAUUGGUUGAUUGAAUGGAAUUAUUAUUUUAGAUCAAGCACGAGUUGGUAAUCGUAGAAAGGACAAGGUAGCUGAGUAGUCCUUGUACUUUGGUUGUUGCAGCAAAUCAGUCCAAUAAGUUCGUGCUAUUAUUUUAUGUUUAUAAUGAUUUCUUACACACUACAUGUUUUAUUAGAAGUUGAUCUAAUUUUGUAAUUAUCUAUUGAAUGCUUAAAGAAUAAAUAAUAAAUGAGUAUAAUGAGUACGUGGUAUACCUAAAUAGUAGGCCGUGGGCCGAUGAUUAUUUAGCAGGCUUUGAGUCAGUGAUCAUUUAUCAGGUACUAUGUACCGGUGAUACAGAAUGUAGCGAUGGCUUGAGAUCCUGCAUGUGUUGCAGAUUCUCUAUAGCUUGUAUGAGCAGCAUCGUGGGCCUGUUAAAAUUCUAAAGUUAAUUUGAAUGAAUGAUACCCUUUCGAUUACCUGAAAUGAGAUAUUGAUAGAACUAUGACUUGGUUAUGAUAAUUUAUCAUAUGGCAUUUUGAUUAUGUGAAUUAUCUAAGUAUAAGUGUUUUCGAAAAGUUGAAAUAAUAGUAAUUUGGAAUAUGAUUUGAAUUAUUGUAUUGUGCAUUACUCAUCUGUUGUGAGUUGUGACUGACAAGAACUUAUUUUUUUAAAUCUUAUACAUUGUUUAUUUAUGUUCAAACAGAUAAGAUUAUCGUUUAAUCAUCAAACUUACUAAGCUUCCAUAAACUUACUCGUAUCUUGUUCCUUUUCUUGUAGAUUACAUUUUAUGGAGGGGUGAUCUGAUCAACUCGCAAAAUCACACUAUCCUGAUGACUCUUUUGGUGGAUUUUGUAAACAUUGGUUAUAUGGCAUGUAAUAGGGCAAAUGAUUAUGUUGGAAAUGUUUCAUAACCUUAUGUGGUUUUUUGGUAUGUUUGAUGUUGUGGAAUGGUAACCUUAUAUGGUAUGCUUGUUAAACUCUAAGUUGAGCUUGAGUGUUUUGUCUAGGGAAUGGUAAGUGACAUGUUUAAGUACAAUAUGAUGAGAUUGAAAUAGAUUAGUUGGUGUGUAUGUUAUGACUUGUAGGUGAUAUGAAAUGAUAAUGUUUGGGUAUGGACAUUAUUUUGUAACUUCAAGUAUAACACCUUGGUUUGGUUUUAGGUGGUUCAAAUUGGCAUGUUUUGGUUGCUUUUAGGUGUGGUUAUAGUCUUGUGAUCAUGUGUUAUGAAUUGGUUUAGGUACCUAUGUAAUUGGAUGAAAAAUGAGCAUGAUUUUGGUUACUUUUAGGUACACAUGGCAUGGGACACGGGCUGUCACAUGACCGUGUGUCACACAUGGGCAAACUAUACAGACGUGUGCCCCUAGCAUGUUAGGUGCAGGAUUCACACAGGCUGACACAUGGGCUGUGACACGACUAUAUGACCCAAGUUAGAGAGCUACACAGCCCAUGCAUACAAGCGUGUAGAAUGGCCAUACGGCUAUGUCUGGAGCCACACAGUUUGAGCUUUAUCACACUGCCGUGUAACCCUAGUUUUGAAUUUUUUUCAUUUUGUCCCAAAUCUCCUAUUUUGUUUCGAAUUGGUCCCUGAUUGUUCCUAAACUAUUUUUAGGCCUCGUAAGCUCUAUUUAAGUCCCAUGAAUGUAUGUCUUGCUUCAUUCUGAAUUAUUUAUGAAUAUUGUCAAUUAAUUUGAUGAAUUAGAUGCAAUUGUUAUGGAAUGUUUUGCAUUGUACAGUAAUACUCCAUAACCCUAUUUCAGCGAUGGAAAUAGGUUAUGGGUGUUACAGCUCCUAACAAGCCUACUGCAACUCUGGGUACAAUUUUUUCUCUAUUCUAUGGGCUUUACAAAUUCCCCAAAAAAUAAAAAUUCACUUGUGGAAAGUCUACAAUGACUAUAUACCUAUUUAUGCUAACCUAAGAGAAAUCUCCCUAGUCUUGGUGCUUGCCCGUUGUGCCUUGAAGGUACUGAAUCAGUGGACCAUCUGAUCUGAGCUCGCCUAUGAACAACGAAGAGUUCGAACGAGAAGCAAUCACGUUUCCCAUUGGUCCAAUAACGCGAGCUAGAGCUAAACGUUUCAAAGAUGCUAUUUCAGCAAUGGUGGAACGGGUUGAGGAAAAUGAUAGCAAGAAGUUUAAAAACGAGAUGAACAUAUUCAACUUCUUUGAAGCUGAAUUUCGUUCUAGCUAAUUAAAUUGCUACUGGAAUUUUAGACCAUUUAAAUAAGCAUUUAAAUAAGUUUUAUUACAGCUUAUAAAUAUGUCUUUAGUUAAUAUAAGUGUUUAAUAUGUCUUGAUCUAGUUGAAUUAAAAGAUGUAUUGAUUUCAUUUAGUUUGUCUAAAUUAAUACAUGUCUUAAAUUUGUCCAGCCGAAUUUAUGUGUCAUGUUUUAUUAAUAUUUAAGUUGCUUCAAUGUUAAAUUAGGAUGUUCACAUUAUGCCUUUAUUUAGUUCAGCUAAAUUUGUUUGAAAUUAAUUAAGUUCAUGUGUAUUUUUAGGUGCAGCCGAAUUUGAAGAUUCAUUGGGCAGAUUUAUGCAUGAAGAUUCAAGGGAUGUGAAGAUGCAUGCAUGUUGGAUUCAAUGCACCAAAUGAUUCAUGCAUGGAAUGCAUUAAACAAGGUGUGCUGAUAUUUGAAGUCUUCUAUGUGACCAUUCAGCCAAAAGAGAUGAUUCUUCAUCCUCCAAGGCUGCCAUUUAUUUCCUUCACAUUGCUGGAUACAUUUUGGCCAUUCGGUUCAUGGUGUUCACACUCUAAAGGCUCUUCAAAACUGUCCAUUCACACCUAAUGUGGCUGCUCAAGUACUCUCUUUAUUAUUGAUAAUUUUUCAGCAAGAGUUACCUAUUGAAUGCUCAUUUAAGCCCAGUAGCCGAAUGUAGCUACUACAUGCAUCUCCAAGGUUCAUUUGCUUAAUGUGGAAGCUUCAUGUAUGGUCACCAUUCAGCCGAACCUACAUUGGCCAUUUUUGUUCAAUGUUUGCUUAGAAACUAAGUCUAGAAUAUGUCCAUUCGGCUACUAGGCAUUAGGCUAUAAAUAGUUACUCAUUUUCUUGUAAAAGGACUUUUGACAAAUUUCUGAAUGAAAUAUCAUUUUAGUAAGGCAAUUCACUCUCUUUAUUCUCCAAAGCUCAAAUUGACUUAUCUUCAACGAGUGGCGUCAAUCUGACUUUGUUUCGAACUUAUCACCAUUGGUGUGGCGUUCUUCAUACCGUAGGUUCCUAUUUUGCUAAAUAGAGGGUCUCGGUUAUUAUCCUAAUUCCUUUUCCUUUCUUUGAAACCUUAAGCCCGGGUCCUUAUUUGCUAAUAAGGGUUCGACUUGUUUCUUCAAAAUAUCCAUCAAACAACACUCUAUCAAACUCCUUUGUUUCCCAAAGCCAUUUAAUUUUAAACACCAAGACUUGAAUUUGUUUCGAAACCGACACUACCUAAUUUCGAUCGGGAAUUAAUACGACUCGUCACAUCUUCCGAAACGAGCUCGUAUCACCAUCUCCUUAGGUUUUGUUCAAUUACAGAACAAGUUCUGGGCUCUUUUCAUGUCAUCAGAUCUCCUUUCUCAAAGCACUCAAACCAUAGAUAUUGGUUAAUAGAAUCUUUCAACAUGGCAAAUGAUAAAAACAAAAGCUAUUGACAAUAACAAUAUGGUCUAUUUGGUUUGCCAGAAACUGAUUGAUGCAUAAUGGCAUCAAACAAUGAAUUUAAGAUAUAUCAAGGUUUAUUUUAGGGUAAAUAAUAGAACUAGAAUCGUUAUUACAAGAGAGCUCCUCUGUUUGUAUACCUAAGGCUACUUACUAGAGGCCACUAGAGGAGGGCACUGUGAAAAUUAAUUUCGAUCCCUCUUUUAAUGUGCAUGAAAACAGAUCAUUCUUAGGCAUUAUUAUACGAAACGAAGUGGGUUUGAUAAUGGGGGCUUGUACUUACCCUCACUCCCAUGUUGCAGAUGUGUUUAUGGCAGAGGCUCGGGCAUGCGAACAGGUGAUUUGGUUUGUGAGGGAGCUUGGGUUCUAUUCUGUUUAGAUCGAAGGGGACUCUCUUUCGAUUAUCAAAAAACUACAAUUGGACACACCAGAUAGGUCAAUUUUAGGCCCAAUCGUUGCAAACAUUAAGUAGAAAAUGGGUUUGUUUGCUACUAUUACCUUUCACCAUGUGAGGAGAGAUGCGAAUGAGGCAGCCCAUGUGUUGGCAAGGGAGGAACGUCAAUUAUCAGAGGGAUGGUUAUGGAUCGAAGAAGCACCGGAGUUGGUCGAGAGAGUGGCUGCGGUGGAUUGGUCAAAGUAUUGUCUUUCACGCUAAUCAGGUUUUUGCUUUGGUUUUUCGUAAAACUUCAUCUUUCACUCCGAUAAUCUACUAAAGCUUGUCUCUUUAUAGGAUUUUGUUCUUCUACUGAUUUUCUUCUCUGGUUUUGGAGAGUUUGUUGGUUUCUUGGCUUGUUUUUCUAGGAGGUUCUUUUAUGACAUUUCAAUUCUUUCUUGUUUAAGUUUUUCCUUUCCUUUCCGUUUUAUUUAUUUAGGCUUUAAUUUUUUUUGUUUUUGUUGUUUCCCGAUGAUGGGAUUGUGGAACACAUGGUAGGUUCACCUCCUAAUUUGUUUUAUGGAAGCCAACUAUUUAC
This 11216-nucleotide long non-coding RNA is filed under the name Gossypium raimondii (Peruvian cotton). RNAcentral's name for it is "long non-coding RNA (GRAI_LNC004635)". The record is from RNAcentral. Lineage: Eukaryota; Viridiplantae; Streptophyta; Magnoliopsida; Malvales; Malvaceae.